CCUACGGGCGGCAGCAGUGAGGAAUAUUGGUCAAUGGGCGGGAGCCUGAACCAGCCAAGUCGCGUGAGGGAAGACGGUCCUAUGGAUUGUAAACCUCUUUAGGCGGGGAGCAAUGCCGGGCACGCGUGCCCGGAGGGAGAGUACCCGCAGAAUAAGCAUCGGCAAACUCCGUGCCAGCAGCCGCGGUAAUACGGAGGAUGCGAGCGUUAUCCGGAUUUAGUGGGUUUAAAGGGUGCGUAGGCGGAUUUUUAAGUCAGCGGUAAAAUGUCCGGGCUCAACCCGGGCCGGCCGUUGAAACUGGGGAUCUUGAGUGGGCGAGAAGUAUGCGGAAUGCGUGGUGUAGCGGUGAAAUGCAUAGAUAUCACGCAGAACUCCGAUUGCGAAGGCAGCAUACCGGCGCCCGACUGACGCUGAGGCACGAAAGCGUGGUGAUCGAACAGGAUUAGAUACCCUAGUAGUC
RNAcentral lists this ribosomal RNA (460 nucleotides) under uncultured bacterium. Its description in RNAcentral is "partial 16S ribosomal RNA". It matches the Rfam family "Bacterial small subunit ribosomal RNA", at positions 338 to 795 of the family's 1533-position model. The record is from RNAcentral.